AAAGGAAGGACACAGAGAUGCUCCAGUGGCUGCAGCAAAAAAAAGAGACAGAGUCUGACAGCACUUAAAACUGAACAAAGCACUCAUUAAAAGGAAGCCACUAUCAUUAUGAUGAAGAUGAAGAAGCCUAUAAGCAUUGGACUCCAGCUCAGACAGGCUCCUCCACACUCCUGGGGCUUGUCUAAGGCUCUCUCUCCUUACUCUGAUCAACUGCAUCUAGCUUCUCUCACCAUAUCUAAGCACCUGUCCUGAUGGAGCUCACACUGGCCACCUACCCCUCAGCCAACAAUCUUGCAGAGAAAGGCAACUGAACUUCUUAGCCUCUCUCCGAUUCACGUGUCCUCUCCAUCCUGUUGGCCUAAUUUCACUUCAGCCUUAAAACACUUCUGUUACGGUAAGUCUCCCCAUUACAUUCUUUUUAAGUCUCCCAAUAUCCUGAGCUCAGACUCUACUCCUUCAGCUUCCUUCCACGGCCAGCUUCCCAAAACACAGUCAUGUUAUCCCUGCUUAAAGACUUCUUGUGCGGGCCAGGGAGGUGGCUCAAUAGGUAAAUGCCACCAAAUCUAACAACUUGAGUUUGAUUCCCAGGAUUAACAUGGUAGAAAGAACCAGCUCAUACAAGCAAUCUCUCUCUCUCUCUCUCACACAGAGAGAGAGAGAAUAUAUAUAAUAAAUUUUUUUUAUUAACUUCACUGUGAACAACAAUAACCCCUCCUUUGAUGCAUGCCAAAGCUCUCCCCUUCUGGCUGCUUGGAUCUACUUCAAGCCCUUUGCCCUGCAAAUAAAAAAAGAGUGUCACCUGGACCCCACUCUUCAUCCAUCACUACUUAGGUCAAUAGUCAUCUCCUUCCUGAAAUUCCCCAGCUUCUCCCUGGAGAGCCUGUUAUUUCCUUUCUGCCCUUGUAUAGACACCUUGGACAAAGUUUUGUUACAGCACCACACUUUACUGAAAAUACUGCCUACCAUCUUCUGUCCAACCUCCCCCUAAGAGGAGGAGGACCCCAAAGUGUCUAAGCACUGAGCACAGUGCCUUGCCCAGAGAGGGACAUAAUAGUCAAAAGUUAUUGUGCCAGCCGGGCUCCGGGCAUAAGAUCAGGGCCAGCCCAUAAAAGCAGAGCUGGAGAGCUGACUCAGAGGUUAAGACAGCAAUGUGCAACCGCAAAGGCCUAAGUUCAGGCUCGAGUACCCACUAGCAAGCUCAGCACUGUGAGGGAGAAGACAGUAUUGUCGGUGUUUGCUGGCUGCUUCAAGAGGCCCAUAGUGAGACUCUGUCUCAAACAAACAAACAAAACAAACAAAGGAAUAGAGUGUUAGAGAAAGCUUCCUUCUUUGACCUCCAGGGAUGUGCACAGGGACACACACUCAGACACAUAUGUGCAGAUAUCACACCACAUUCACACAUACC
This 1405-nucleotide long non-coding RNA is filed under the name Mus musculus (house mouse). Its description in RNAcentral is "predicted gene 15624". Lineage: Eukaryota; Metazoa; Chordata; Mammalia; Rodentia; Muridae. The record is from RNAcentral.